This 447-nucleotide ribosomal RNA is filed under the name uncultured bacterium. RNAcentral describes it as "bacterial SSU rRNA". It matches the Rfam family "Bacterial small subunit ribosomal RNA", at positions 329 to 793 of the family's 1533-position model. The record is from RNAcentral.
UGCCAGACUCCUACGGGAGGCAGCAGUGGGGAAUAUUGCACAAUGGGGGAAACCCUGAUGCAGCGACGCCGCGUGAGUGAAGAAGUAUUUCGGUAUGUAAGGCUCUAUCAGCAGGGAAGAAGUUGACGGUACCUGAGUAAGAAGCCCCGGCUAACUACGUGCCAGCAGCCGCGGUAAUACGUAGGGGGCAAGCGUUAUCCGGAUUUACUGGGUGUAAAGGGAGCGUAGACGGCAGUGCAAGUCUGAAGUGAAAGCCCCGGGCUUAACCCGGGAACUGCUUUGGAAACUGUACGGCUGGAGUGCUGGAGAGGUAGGCGGAAUUCCUAGUGUAGCGGUGAAAUGCGUAGAUAUUAGGAGGAACACCAGUGGCGAAGGCGGCUUACUGGACAGUAACUGACGUUGAGGCUCGAAAGCGUGGGGAGCAAACAGGAUUAGAUACCCUGGUAC